UGGCGAGCGAACACGGAACAGGCCAAACCGUUCUACGGGGCGGGGUUGUAGGACUUUUGUUAGAGUUACAAAGUUAUUGUAUAGUAGAAGCUAUUGGGAAGUAGCGGCAUAGAGGGUGAUACCCCCGUAUACGAAAUGCAAUAACCUCGAGAAAGUAUCCUGAGUACGGCGAAACACGUGAAAUUUUGUCGGAAUCUGCCAAGACCACUUGGUAAGCCUAAAUACUACCAUUUUACCGAUAGUGAACCAGUACCGUGAGGGAAAGGUGAAAAGCACCCCGAGAGGGGAGUGAAAGAGAUCCUGAAACCAUAUGCUUACAAGAAGGUAGAGCCCGUUAAUGGGUGAUACCGUGCUUUUUG
This 359-nucleotide ribosomal RNA is filed under the name Listeria monocytogenes. RNAcentral's name for it is "partial 23S ribosomal RNA". It matches the Rfam family "Bacterial large subunit ribosomal RNA", at positions 247 to 610 of the family's 2925-position model. Lineage: Bacteria; Bacillati; Bacillota; Bacilli; Caryophanales; Listeriaceae. The record is from RNAcentral.